UCAGUCGACUCCUACGGGGAGGCAGCAGUGAGGAAUAUUGGACAAUGGAGGCAACUCUGAUCCAGCCAUGCCGCGUGUAGGAAGACUGCCCUAUGGGUUGUAAACUACUUUUAUAGAGGAAGAAAUCGCAAUACGUGUAUUGCUCUGACGGUACUCUACGAAUAAGGAUCGGCUAACUCCGUGCCAGCAGCCGCGGUAAUACGGAGGAUCCAAGCGUUAUCCGGAAUCAUUGGGUUUAAAGGGUCCGUAGGCGGGCGUAUAAGUCAGUGGUGAAAGUUUGCGGCUCAACCGUAAAAUUGCCAUUGAUACUGUAUGUCUUGAAUAAUUGUGAAGUGGUUAGAAUAUGUAGUGUAGCGGUGAAAUGCAUAGAUAUUACAUAGAAUACCGAUUGCGAAGGCAGAUCACUAACAAUUUAUUGACGCUAAGGGACGAAAGCGUGGGUAGCGAACAGGAUUAGAUACCCUGGUAG
This 469-nucleotide ribosomal RNA is filed under the name uncultured bacterium. RNAcentral describes it as "bacterial SSU rRNA". It matches the Rfam family "Bacterial small subunit ribosomal RNA", at positions 328 to 793 of the family's 1533-position model. The record is from RNAcentral.